Molecule: ribosomal RNA, 116 nt
Filed under: uncultured bacterium
Lineage: Bacteria
Description: partial 16S ribosomal RNA
Rfam family: Bacterial small subunit ribosomal RNA
Source: RNAcentral
CGUUCCCGGGUCUUGUACACACCGCCCGUCACACCACGAAAGUCGGCAACACCCGAAGCCGGUGGCCUAACCCGCAGGGGAGGGAGCCGUCGAAGGUGGGGCUGGCGAUUGGGGUG